Vigna unguiculata (cowpea) is the source of this 2299-nucleotide RNA transcript. RefSeq lists it as uncharacterized. The record is from RefSeq and is a predicted model, not a curated record. Lineage: Eukaryota; Viridiplantae; Streptophyta; Magnoliopsida; Fabales; Fabaceae.
UUUCUUUUGCGAAAUUUGACUCCUCUUAAUGUUUCUAAGUUUUCUAAGACUUUCAAAUUCCGAAUGCCUUCUUCGGUACCUUCGUCGUCACCACCACCGCUUCCGUCAUCACCACCAACGCCUCCGUUGUCAUCACCAUCGCCUCCAUCAUCACCACAAUCGCCUUCCUGUCUAUGUAACACUUCGUCUCUUCACCACCACCAUCUGUCUAUUGGCGCUUCUUCCUCUGUCAGCACCAAGCAUCUCUCCUUCAUCUAAUCGGUGGGUCUACAAGUAUUGAAGAGAAGAAAGAAUCAAUUGAAUCGAAAAUGUCUUUAAUGAGCGUGAAAAUGUCAGAAGAAGUGUGGUUAAGUUGCCUCACUAGUGUAUUGUCCACUGAAACCGAAGAGAUUAUGGGUUUUCUUCUUGGGGAUAUUCAAGUAAUCUGACCUAACAUUUUUUUCUCUAUUAUCUAGUCAAUUGAAGAAAUGCAUAGACACAGUGCCAAGUUCGAUUAAUAAUUCUGAUGGUUGCACCGCAUUGUCUAUCAGAGUGGUGGCACCUCAAGUUGAUUUUGAACUCAAUUCAUUUUGUCUUAUUAAUGUUUUCACCUAUAAAUUUUUAUGGAGAAGUUUAUGUAAAUAGAGUCUAAAUGUUCCGAUUUCAUGAUGAGAGAUGAGACUUGUUGAACUUGUGCAGUUGGAGGAUGGCUAACUACACGUCGUGUCACUGGUUUGACAGCUAUAGGUGUGAGGAAAGGUCUGAAGACAGAAUUGAUAGAUGCUGAGCCUAUGGAGAGCCAUCUCCAUUUUCUUCCAUUGAAGUGUGGGUAUGGACUGGGGUUCUUCUUAUAUCCUUUGCUGUUUCUUUGAUAUAUUUUCUCACUUAUAUUUUAGUUUUAUUCAUAUCCUGACAUAUUUCUAAGGGUGUGAUGGAGAGUAUUUCGCUAUUUUAAAAAUUUUCCUAGGUUGAUAUACCUAUUCAGCAAAGCUAUCUGUAUUCUAGAUCAGGUGUGUGAUUUAUUUGCACAUAUAACUCAUUCCAAUAACAAAUUAAAUUAGUACAAUGUAUGUGUCAAUGAUGUGAUUUCUUCCACAGGCUUCUACUACAUAUGUAUUCUGGCCUAAUGGAUCCCCUCCAGCUAUCAUUUCAAGAUCAGUAAGUUCUUUCCAUGAAUCUAGUAACAUCUGAGAUUAGUUUUAUAUAAAAUAGAAUUCUUUAUAUGAACUCUAAAUGGACGAGAUAUUCACAAAAAUUUCUAACAAAGUAUCAUGGUUUGCUAUUUUCUAGUUGUCUUACUACAUACCUUUCAAUUUCCUUCUAUGAUUUUUAUAUUUCUAAUACUACAUUUAUAGUCUCUAUAUUUGUUUUUUGAUUUAUUUGAUGCACAAGUGCCCACCAAGGCAAUCUGUAGAGCACUAGUUGAUGAAGUUCAUCAAAAAUUUAGCUCUUGGAUUUAUCAGUAGCCAUGGAAGCUUUUCAAACAGCUCUUUGCUGAACAACUUGGUGGGACACAUCUGGCAUUCCUCAGUUCUUGUUCCAUAUCAUGGAUGGGUUGGGGGACAUAAGUUAUUGUGGAGGUUGCAACAUCAGGUUAGGAAAUAUGUACUCGGCCUUUCCAGCUGGUGACUAGGCAUGUAUGGAAGGGAACAACUUUUGGUGGCUUCAAGAGUCAAUCACAAGUGCCUUGGCUUGUAGAAAAGUACAUGAAGAAGGAAAUCAAGGUUGGCUCAUACUGCAUUCCAUCUUGUUGAUCCAUGGUUUAACGACCUACUAACUUCUCUAUAUAGGCCACAACCUAACGUAAGAUAUUAGAGUCUAUUCAUUUCUUAUUUUCACUAAUUUUGACAGCAUUUGGAAUUAACAUUGUUCCUUUUAUCAUCCUACUUUAUUUAAUAAUAUAUAAACGCUUUAAGUUAUCACUGAUGCUUAGAUUAAAUGGCUGAGAUAGAUUAGUGCAGGACCUUAUUCUCUUGUUGGAUGCAUGACCAUCACUACUGGUGCACUUACCCGUAGAAAGGGAAACCAUUGCUGAUGAUGAAUGAUGAAUACAUGAUCAUUUCAGCUAUUAGCCAACAAAUUAAUCAAAUAUAACCGUUUGGGAGCAAAACCAUAUUAAUAUGUGAGCAUAUGGAUACUUAGAGUCAGAGUGGGGUCAACAUGGGAAUUUUUACAUGAAAUUAUUUUAUGGAUUUUAUGGAUUACUUUUGUAAUUAGUUACUAUAAAUUGUUUUAUAUUUGUAGGCGUUGAACACAUUUAUUGAUUUUGUCUUUUAGUGCUUUUAAUAAAGUUUGAAAUUUUCCCGCAUUUUGGGAAAGA